AGUGAACGCUGGCGGUAGGCCUAACACAUGCAAGUCGAACGGCAGCACAGGAGAGCUUGCUCUCUGGGUGGCGAGUGGCGGACGGGUGAGGAAUACAUCGGAAUCUACUCUGUCGUGGGGGAUAACGUAGGGAAACUUACGCUAAUACCGCAUACGACCUACGGGUGAAAGCAGGGGACCUUCGGGUCUUACGCGAUUGAAUGAGCGGAUAGCGGAUUAGCUAGUUGGCGGGGUAAAGGCCCACCAAGGCGACGAUCCGUAGCUGGUCUGAGAGGAUGAUCAGCCACACUGGAACUGAGACACGGUCCAGACUCCUACGGGAGGCAGCAGUGGGGAAUAUUGGACAAUGGGCGCAAGCCUGAUCCAGCCAUACCGCGUGGGUGAAGAAGGCCUUCGGGUUGUAAAGCCCUUUUGUUGGGAAAGAAAUCCAGCUGGCUAAUACCCGGUUGGGAUGACGGUACCCAAAGAAUAAGCACCGGCUAACUUCGUGCCAGCCGCCGCAGUAA
This 506-nucleotide ribosomal RNA is filed under the name uncultured bacterium. Its description in RNAcentral is "partial 16S ribosomal RNA". It matches the Rfam family "Bacterial small subunit ribosomal RNA", at positions 29 to 523 of the family's 1533-position model. The record is from RNAcentral.